Molecule: ribosomal RNA, 262 nt
Filed under: uncultured Chytridiomycota
Lineage: Eukaryota; Fungi; Chytridiomycota
Description: partial 18S ribosomal RNA
Rfam family: Eukaryotic small subunit ribosomal RNA
Source: RNAcentral
AAGCUCGUAGUUGAAUUUCGGGUCUGGUUAGUCUGGUUUAGCCGCAAGGUUAACACUGGUCUUUGGCUGGACCUUUUCUUCUAGAGACUCAGCGUAUCUUUUAUUAGGUGCGUUGAUGGAUCUAGGACUGUUACUUUGAAAAAAUUAGAGUGUUUAAAACAGGCAUAUGCUUGAAUACUACAGCAUGGAAUAACGGAAUAGGACUUUUGUUUCUAUUUUGUUGGUUUGAGAAACAAAGUAAUGAUUAAUAGGGAUAGUUGGG